RNAcentral lists this ribosomal RNA (413 nucleotides) under uncultured bacterium. RNAcentral's name for it is "bacterial SSU rRNA". It matches the Rfam family "Bacterial small subunit ribosomal RNA", at positions 505 to 916 of the family's 1533-position model. The record is from RNAcentral.
GUGUCAGCAGCCGCGGUAAUACGUAGGUGGCAAGCGUUGUCCGGAAUUAUUGGGCGUAAAGCGCGCGCAGGUGGGAUAUUAAGUCUGGUGUUAAAGUUCGGGGCUCAACCCCGUGCAGCAUUUGGAAACUGAUAUUCUUGAGUGCAGGAGAGGAAAGUGGAAUUCCUAGUGUAGCGGUGAAAUGCGUAGAUAUUAGGAGGAACACCAGUGGCGAAGGCGACUUUCUGGACUGUGUCUGACACUGAGGCGCGAAAGCCAGGGUAGUGAACGGGAUUAGAUACCCCGGUAAUCCUGGCCGUAAACGAUGGGUACUAGGUGUAGGGGGUAUCGACCCCUCCUGUGCCGGAGUUAACGCAAUAAGUACCCCGCCUGGGGAGUACGGCCGCAAGGUUGAAACUCAAAUAAAUUGACGG